This 460-nucleotide ribosomal RNA is filed under the name uncultured bacterium. RNAcentral describes it as "partial 16S ribosomal RNA". It matches the Rfam family "Bacterial small subunit ribosomal RNA", at positions 338 to 795 of the family's 1533-position model. The record is from RNAcentral.
CCUACGGGAGGCAGCAGUGAGGAAUAUUGGUCAAUGGACGAGAGUCUGAACCAGCCAAGUAGCGUGAAGGAUGACUGCCCUAUGGGUUGUAAACUUCUUUUAUAUGGGAAUAAAACGUUCCACGUGUGGGAUUUUGUAUGUACCAUAUGAAUAAGGAUCGGCUAACUCCGUGCCAGCAGCCGCGGUAAUACGGAGGAUCCGAGCGUUAUCCGGAUUUAUUGGGUUUAAAGGGAGCGUAGGUGGAUUGUUAAGUCAGUUGUGAAAGUUUGCGGCUCAACCGUAAAAUUGCAGUUGAAACUGGCAGUCUUGAGUACAGUAGAGGUGGGCGGAAUUCGUGGUGUAGCGGUGAAAUGCGUAGAUAUCACGAAGAACUCCGAUUGCGAAGGCAGUUCACUGGACUGCAACUGACACUGAGGCUCGAAAGUGUGGGUAUCAAACAGGAUUAGAUACCCCUGUAGUC